CUUCUGCAGUGUUCUAUUAGUCACACGGUUCAUCCCUGAUUUAGAGUGUAAGCAGAUGGCAUCAUGGUGUGGAUACCAGGAGGGUGGGGAUCACUGGGAGCCAUCCUGGAAGCUGACUCAGGCAGAAGAAAGGAGAUAAUUACUGGAACAAUGUCUCCUCAUAGGCAUGAGUACAUAGAAUUUAGUGCAAAAGGAGAAGAAAUAGCCUUUGUUAGGGACACAGAGGAGCAUUUGAUAGUAACAGUAUAGAGGUGCAGUUAGAGGAAGGUAGGAAGAUCUUAUGGUAGGAGCUUGUGCACAUUCUCGUCUAAUUUUUUCUGUUUCUCAGUGAAAUAGGAAACAAGGUCUUAGGUCAAGAGUGAGGAUUGGGAAGAAGGUGUUUGCUAGACAUUCAUCAGUAUUUCAAGUUUUUCAGUAUCUUUUAAGUGAUGCAGUGCUCAUUGCCACUAACCCUUGUUUGGUCAUAUUAUAAAGGAGGAAAAAAAGUUCUAUUUUUUGAUCAUUGUUCUAUUGUAAGAAGCACAGCCCGAGCUUUAGUAAAGUGAAAAAGCCCCAACUCUGUGUAUAUAUAUAUUUUUCAUUUUAAGGACAGUAAUUUUUUCUUUUUGAUUUCAAGAACUUUCUAUGUUUACAGCAUAGAAAGUUUUAUGCUAUAAGCAUCUUUUGGUGCAAUUAGACAACUUUGUUACUUCUGCUGAUAGAAUAGAGUAAAAUACAGAUAAUAAUAUUUGCUUAAAGGAGACAUUUUAAAAAAUAAGACAUGGUUUGUCUUAGCCCGAUCAGCCUAAAACCACCAGGGACAACCUGUAAACAAACCAAUCGAGUUUACUGACUCAUUGCAGUGUGGGGACUGCACAACAGAGCAACUGUGAGGUAUCUCAUCAAACAAAGGAAAAUAUAGAGUUAACAUAGGGUUUUGCUGAAGAGUGAAAUUUAGGUGUGAUGUAAAUGAGGUGAUGUUCUAUGGGCUCUAAGCAAGUAUGGUUGUGUAUAAAAGGGGUCAGCCUCAGCUCUGUACUGUGAAAUGGACCUAUGGUCCUUGUCUUAGUCCAUUUUGUGUUGCUAUAAAGGAAUAUUUGAGGCUGGGCAAUCUCUAAGGAAAAGAGGUUUAUUUGGCUCUCUGUUCUGCGGGCUGUACAAGAAGCAUGGCACCAGCAUCUGCUCCUGGCGAGAGGCUCAGGCUGCUUCCACUCAUGGUAGAAGCUUGCUCUGGCUAACAACCACUAUCAUCAAAGCUGUCUGAGGAAGACCUCCUGUUGCUGCGACUGACGGGACUCUUGGUGGAAGCCCUAUUCCUAUGUGCCCACGGCUGCAGCUCCCCAAGGGAGCAGGACAUUGUUGGAUUCUCUAAGAAGCUCAGAGGAAGUCACUUCUCACUGUGGUGCCAUAUGGGACUUGAAGUCGUUCUACUCAUACUCUGUUUUUCAGUAAAGCUGCUUUUGCCUCUG
Non-coding RNA from Macaca mulatta (Rhesus monkey), 1448 nucleotides. Lineage: Eukaryota; Metazoa; Chordata; Mammalia; Primates; Cercopithecidae. The record is from RefSeq and is a predicted model, not a curated record.